AUUCUGAAUUCUGGGAUGAAUCCUAGAUUCGUCCCAGAUUCUGGGAUGAAUCCUGGAUUCAUCCCAGAUUCUGGGAUGAAUCCUGGAUUCGUCCCAAAAUUU
This is a small nucleolar RNA of Zingiber officinale, 102 nucleotides long. RefSeq annotates it as small nucleolar RNA SNORD90. The transcript has a single exon. NCBI's taxonomy places the organism in Eukaryota, Viridiplantae, Streptophyta, Magnoliopsida, Zingiberales, Zingiberaceae. The record is from RefSeq and is a predicted model, not a curated record.